GAUGAACGCUGGCGGCGUGCCUAAUACAUGCAAGUCGAGCGAACAGACGAGGAGCUUGCUCCUCUGACGUUAGCGGCGGACGGGUGAGUAACACGUGGAUAACCUACCUAUAAGACUGGGAUAACUUCGGGAAACCGGAGAUAAUACCGGAUAAUAUAUUGAACCGCAGGGUUCAAUAGUGAAAGACGGUUUUGCUGUCACUUAUAGAUGGAUCCGCGCCGGAUUAGCUAGUUGGUAAGGUAACGGCUUACCAAGGCAACGAUGCGUAGCCGACCUGAGAGGGUGAUCGGCCACACUGGAACUGAGACACGGUCCAGACUCCUACGGGAGGCAGCAGUAGGGAAUCUUCCGCAAUGGGCGAAAGCCUGACGGAGCAACGCCGCGUGAGUGAUGAAGGUCUUCGGAUCGUAAAACUCUGUUAUUAGGGAAGAACAAAUGUGUAAGUAACUAUGCACGUCUUGACGGUACCUAAUCAGAAAGCCACGGCUAACUACGUG
Molecule: ribosomal RNA, 497 nt
Filed under: uncultured bacterium
Lineage: Bacteria
Description: partial 16S ribosomal RNA
Rfam family: Bacterial small subunit ribosomal RNA
Source: RNAcentral